UUCAUCCCUACGACCAACUAUUGGGUCAUUGGGUUCCUUCUAACACAAAAUUCCAUGAACAUUUGGGUUCGAUCUUCUGAUUCGAUGCGGCUCCUUGCACUGCUGGUGAGCCUACCGCCGACCCAGUGAAUCCGCAGGGUCCCUGGAGGAGCAUCGCAGUAGAUUGGGGUGCCGGACGGAGAGCGAGUUGGGAGGCCGUAGCGCUAGCAGAUCUGGGGGACGCCAACGGUCUAGCUGGGGAAGUACAUCGGGCAAGAAAGGGGAGGAAGUACGGGCGGGGCUCGCGGUCAACUCGCCGGAGAGGAGGGUGCUGAUGGUUGGCGGCGACGAGGUUGGGCGAGCGCAUAUCGGCGAGGGGCCUCGUUGCGCGCGCGGUUGCGCUCAAGGUCUAGUGGAGCGUCGCCGAUUGUACUCGCAGACCUGAAUCUGGGACUUGAAAAAGGAGACCUGAAGAAUUCCUGCAUCGCCAUGGUGGUUCCUGGUAGCAGCAAGAAAGUGGUUCUGAACAACUGAUUGCUAGUGUAUCGACUCUGCACAACAGCACUAGGCACAGGAAGGAGUUCAGUAGAUGGAAGGGAUCAUGGUGAGUGCCGCCACAGGGGCGGUGAACUCCCUUCUCACCAAGCUCACCGCUCUCAUGGGGGAGGAGUACAAAGCACAAAAGGGCUUAUUCCGCGACAUCGCCUUCCUUAGAGACGAGCUGAGCAGCAUGAACGUGCUCCUGGAGAAGUUGGCAGGGGUGGAGACACUCGACCCUCAAGUAAGGGAGUGGAGGAACCAGGUGAGGGAGAUGGCCUACGACAUCGAGGACUACAUUGACAGCCACAUGUUCCAGCUCCACUGUGAGCUGGGCAAGCCCAGUGGUGCGAAGGAGUUCUUCCGCAGGAGGGUCCGAAAGGUGGACUUUGGAGCUUAACGUGAGAUUGCAGGGCAGAUCCAAGAGAUUAAGGCCCGCAUCAUUGUAGCAAGCCAGCGUCAUGAUAGAUACAAGGUUGAUGAGGUGGCAGUUGGUUCUGGUAGCGCAAAUGUUGUGUCAAUUGACCCUCGUUUGCCUGCCCUUUAUGUGGAGGCAGCCAACCUUGUCGGAAUUGACGGUCCCAGGGAGGAUCUUAUUAAGUUGGUCACCGAUGAAGAGCUCUCUGUCAGGGUGGUCUCUAUUGUAGGUUUUGGAGGAUCUGGCAUACUGUAGCUAACCAAGUGUAAAAAAAAUAGGUGGCCAAUUUAAGUGCCAAGCUUUUGUGUCAGUGUCGCUAAAUCCUGAUAUAAGAAAAAUUUUGUGGGCUUUACUGGCUUAGUGAAGAAAGAAGACUAUGCAAUCACCAAACAGAGUGAUGAGGAGUCGCUUAUCAAUGCACUGAGGAGCUUUCUCAAGGACAAGAGGUAUAUAAUUGUAGUCGAUGAUAUCUGGAGUAUACAAGCAUGGAAGACUAUCAAAUGUGCUCUGCCUGAGAAUUCCUUCUGUAGCAGAAUAAUAGUGACAACAAGAAACAUUAGUGUCGCCAAAUCAUGUUGCUCACCUUACCAUGAUUUUGCAUACAAGGUAAGGCUACUAAGUGAAGCAGAUUCUGAAACUUUAUUCUAUAGAAGGGUUUUUGGCUCUGAGGAUAAAUGCCCACUUCACCUGAAGGAAGUUUCAACUGAAAUCAUAAAAAAGUGUGGUGGCUUACCGUUGGCAAUCAUCACAAUAGGCAGUUUGUUAAGCACUAAAUCAGAUACCAGAGAAGAGUGCAUCACUGUUAGAAAUUCAAUUGGUUUAGGACUUGAGAAAAAUCCAGAUGUGGAGGAAAUGAGAGCGAUUUUAUCUCUUAGUUAUAAUGAUCUUCCACUUCAUUUGAAGACCUGUUUAUUGUAUUUGGCCAUUUAUCCUAAAGAUUAUGAGAUCCAAAUGGAAGAUUUGGUGAGGAGGUGGAUAGCAGAAGGAUUCCUCAAGGUUGAGGGUAGAAGAAAUUUAAUGGAUGUAGGUAAACUGUAUUUCAAUGAACUUAUAAAUAGAAGUAUGAUCCAGCCACUAGAUAUCAGCUAUAAUGGCUAAGCAAAGGGAGGCCAUGUGCAUGAUAUGAUCCUUGAUCUUAUCAAAUCCAAGGCAGUUGAAGAAAAUUUUAUCUCCUUUAGUGGUGAUGAACCACAUAUAUUGGUCUCCAAGGAUAAGGUUCUUUGACUCUCAAUUGACUACUGACCAAGAAAAUGUGAUUCCACUGUCAACCAUGAUUACUGCUCAUGUCCGAUCCCUUAGCAUAUUUGGAUGUGCCCAACAAAUGCCGCCAGUUUUGGAAUUUCCAGCCCUGAAUGCUUGCUCUAGAUAGGAUCCAAAAGUUAGAAAGUGGUUAUCUUAAAAAUAUAGGGAAGUUGUUUCUCUUGAGGUACCUAAGGAUUAAAGGAAGCAACAUUACUCAACUUCCAGAACAGAUAGGGGAGUUACAGUGUUUGGAAAUACUGGAUCUACAUGGCACUGGUAUAAGAGAACUUCCGACAAGUAUUGUUAAUCUUCGACAAUUGAAAUGGAUGCUCACAGAUGGUGUGAAAUUGCCCCAGAGUGUUGGGAAAAUGCAAGGUACGGAGGAAAUGUCAUGUAUAGCUAUGGAUGAGAGUACCCCCUUAGAUUCUUUGCAGGAGCUGGGAAGUUUGAGUAGACUGAGAACCCUUGGUAUAAAGUGGUGCAUUAGUGACUCACAUGUUCAUAAAAUAGCCUAUGUGCAUAACUUAGUUUCAUCACUCGGCAAACUUGGUAGCUCCAACCUUCGGCAUUUACAUGUGAAAACGGAUGGUCGUCUGGUUCACAUCCCAUUGGAUUCUUGGUCCCCACCUCCUCGACUGCUGCACGGAUUAAUACACA
Setaria italica (foxtail millet) is the source of this 2833-nucleotide RNA transcript. RefSeq lists it as uncharacterized. The record is from RefSeq and is a predicted model, not a curated record. The transcript has 3 exons. NCBI's taxonomy places the organism in Eukaryota, Viridiplantae, Streptophyta, Magnoliopsida, Poales, Poaceae.